Molecule: unclassified non-coding RNA, 431 nt
Filed under: soil metagenome
Description: partial contains 5.8S ribosomal RNA, internal transcribed spacer 2, and large subunit ribosomal RNA
Rfam family: 5.8S ribosomal RNA (bases 1-120)
Source: RNAcentral
GAUGAAGAACGUAGCGAAAUGCGAUACGUAGUGUGAAUUGCAGAAUUCCGUGAAUCAUCGAAUCUUUGAACGCAUAUUGCGCUGGCGGCUUCGGCCAACAGCAUGUCUGCCUCAGCGUCGGGUUAAUAUCGUUCUCGCCUCCACACACACAGCACGCUGUGUUUUAAAGGAGCGGGAGCAGGACCUGGCCGUUCCAACCGCAUUACUCCUUGUGGGUGCCUGCUUGGAUCGGCUGAAAAUCAGAGGCUAGCUCAAGGACCCGUUAUGGGCCGCAACUGGGUAGGCACUUCGUCUCUUUGACGCAUUGCUCUCGAGUUGCUGGCUUGGGACCCUGUGGCUCGGCCCUCCAUCAGGAAAUUAACCAUUCAUUAUCUCGACCUGAGCUCAGGCAAGAACACCCGCUGAACUUAAGCAUAUCAAUAAGCGGAGGA